ACGCUGGCGGCGUGGAUAAGACAUGCAAGUCGAACGGGAGAAUUGCUAGCUUGCUAAUAAUUCUCUAGUGGCGCACGGGUGAGUAACACGUGAGUAACCUGCCUCUUAGUGGGGGAUAGCCCUGGGAAACCGGGAUUAAUACCGCAUACGAUUGAAAGAUCAAAGCAGCAAUGCGCUAGGAGAUGGGCUCGCGGCCUAUUAGUUAGUUGGUGAGGUAACGGCUCACCAAGGCGAUGACGGGUAGCCGGUCUGAGAGGAUGUCCGGCCACACUGGAACUGAGACACGGUCCAGACACCUACGGGUGGCAGCAGUCGAGAAUCAUUCACAAUGGGGGCAACCCUGAUGGUGCGACGCCGCGUGGGGGAAUGAAGGUCUUCGGAUUGUAAACCCCUGUCAUGUGGGAGCAAAUUAAAAAGAUAGUACCACAAGAGGAAGAGACGGCUAACUCUGUGCCAGCAGCCGCGGUAAUACAGAGGUCUCAAGCGUUGUUCGGAAUCACUGGGCGUAAAGCGUGCGUAGGCUGUUUCGUAAGUCGUGUGUGAAAGGCAGGGGCUCAACCCCUGGAUUGCACAUGAUACUGCGAGACUAGAGUAAUGGAGGGGGAACCGGAAUUCUCGGUGUAGCAGUGAAAUGCGUAGAUAUCGAGAGGAACACUCGUGGCGAAGGCGGGUUCCUGGACAUUAACUGACGCUGAGGCACGAAGGCCAGGGGAGCGAAAGGGAUUAGAUACCCCUGUAGUCCUGGCAGUAAACGGUGCACGCUUGGUGUGCGGGGAAUCGACCCCCUGCGUGCCGGAGCUAACGCGUUAAGCGUGCCGCCUGGGGAGUACGGUCGCAAGAUUAAAACUCAAAGAAAUUGACGGGGACCCGCACAAGCGGUGGAGUAUGUGGCUUAAUUCGAUGCAACGCGAAGAACCUUACCUGGGCUUGACAUGUAAUGAACAACAUGUGAAAGCAUGCGACUCUUCGGAGGCGUUACACAGGUGCUGCAUGGCCGUCGUCAGCUCGUGUCGUGAGAUGUUUGGUUAAGUCCAGCAACGAGCGCAACCCCUGUUGCCAGUUACCAUCGAGUAAUGUCGGGGACUCUGGCGAGACUGCCCAGAUCAACUGGGAGGAAGGUGGGGACGACGUCAGGUCAGUAUGGCCCUUAUGCCCAGGGCUGCACACGUACUACAAUGCCCAGUACAGAGGGGGCCGAAGCCGCGAGGCGGAGGAAAUCCUGAAAACUGGGCCCAGUUCGGACUGUAGGCUGCAACCCGCCUACACGAAGCCGGAAUCGCUAGUAAUGGCGCAUCAGCUACGGCGCCGUGAAUACGUUCCCGGGUCUUGUACACACCGCCCGUCACAUCAUGGAAGCCGGUCGCACCCGAAGUAUCUGAAGCCAACCGCAAGGAGGCAGGGUCCUAAGGUGAGACUGGUAACUGGGAU
RNAcentral lists this ribosomal RNA (1428 nucleotides) under uncultured organism. Its description in RNAcentral is "SSU rRNA". It matches the Rfam family "Bacterial small subunit ribosomal RNA". The record is from RNAcentral.